Molecule: ribosomal RNA, 254 nt
Filed under: uncultured bacterium
Lineage: Bacteria
Description: partial 16S ribosomal RNA
Rfam family: Bacterial small subunit ribosomal RNA
Source: RNAcentral
UACGGGGGGAGCAAGCGUUGUUCGGAUUUACUGGGCGUAAAGGGCGCGUAGGCGGCCACCGCAAGUCGACUGUGAAAUCUCCGGGCUUAACCCGGAAAGGUCAGCCGAUACUGCGGGGCUAGAGUGCGGAAGGGGCAACUGGAAUUCUCGGUGUAGCGGUGAAAUGCGUAGAUAUCGAGAGGAACACCUGCGGCGAAGGCGGGUUGCUGGGCCGACACUGACGCUGAGGCGCGAAAGCUAGGGGAGCAAACGGG